GAGCGUGACCAAGGCAAGAAGUCACUUGGAUGUCUAUCCACUCGUCAGUGACUUGCUUGAUGUUGCAGUAGUGUGACUGGUCCUUUGAUCUGCGGUGCUUCGGCUACUCACAGUGAGGUUAUUGUAGUUUGACUGCACACAUAUAUGGUCUCUAGCCAUAUGGGUCCAUGCAGUGUAGAUUGGCUGCAGUAGGUUCACUGUAGGAGUAUGGUAUGCACCUAUAAGGAAUCUAUCGACCUUGAUAGAUAAGGAAAGAUCCUAUGUGAUUUAUAAGACUGAGUUCGUAAGACCUCGGCCGGGGCAGUAUGCACAGUGGAGAAAGAGUUUUCCACUCUGGAACUUAAGUCAAAUAAAUCUUGACAUAUGACAGACGAUGGGGUUUGACGAGUUGUCCAUGACCUCCGUCCUGUAGGGAUCCUCGAUAGUAGGACUGUAUC
This 437-nucleotide long non-coding RNA is filed under the name Phoenix dactylifera (date palm). RNAcentral's name for it is "long non-coding RNA (PDAC_LNC015405)". The record is from RNAcentral. Lineage: Eukaryota; Viridiplantae; Streptophyta; Magnoliopsida; Arecales; Arecaceae.